RNAcentral lists this long non-coding RNA (399 nucleotides) under Mytilus galloprovincialis (Mediterranean mussel). Lineage: Eukaryota; Metazoa; Mollusca; Bivalvia; Mytilida; Mytilidae. The record is from RNAcentral.
CUCUAAAAUGCGGUGCAUUACGUUUGCGCGCAUUAUUAUUACUUUUGCGCACAAAAAUCAUUACGUUUGCGCGCAGCUUUUGAUUACAUUUGCGCGCAUUUUUUUGACAGAUAAACUCAGGUAAAAUACAGGUAAUAAUACUUAUUCAUUUAUUAAUUGGUUCAAUUAUUUACAAGUAUCAGUACCCCUUCCGUAAGUCUAAGUCUCCUAAGGCACCUAUUUAGUAAGAAUUCAAUCAGUAUCUUUUUAGGGAAAAUACAGGUAAUAAUGCUUAUUUAUUUAUUAAUUUGUUGAGUUAUUUACAAGUAUCAGUACCCAUUCCGUUAGUAUAAGUCUCCUAAGACAGAGAAAAAAGAGAUAAAGCCGCAUAUUUUUUUCGAUUUUCAGAUAUAUAUUCCA